GCUUCCCGGGGAAACCGGAGCUAAUACCGGAUAACAUUUUGAACCGCAUGGUUCAAAAUUGAAAGAUGGUUUCGGCUAUCACUUACAGAUGGACCCGCGGCGCAUUAGCUAGUUGGUGAGGUAACGGCUCACCAAGGCGACGAUGCGUAGCCGACCUGAGAGGGUGAUCGGCCACACUGGGACUGAGACACGGCCCAGACUCCUACGGGAGGCAGCAGUAGGGAAUCUUCCGCAAUGGACGAAAGUCUGACGGAGCAACGCCGCGUGAACGAUGAAGGCCUUCGGGUCGUAAAGUUCUGUUGUUAGGGAAGAACAAGUACCAGAGUAACUGCUGGUACCUUGACGGUACCUAACCAGAAAGCCACGGCUAACUACGUGCCAGCAGCCGCGGUAAUACGUAGGUGGCAAGCGUUGUCCGGAAUUAUUGGGCGUAAAGCGCUCGCAGGCGGUUUCUUAAGUCUGAUGUGAAAGCCCACGGCUCAACCGUGGAGGGUCAUUGGAAACUGGGAAACUUUGAGUGCAGAAGAGGAGAGUGGAAUUCCACGUUGUAGCGGUGAAAUGCUAAGAUAUUGUGUAGGAUAUAUUUUUUGU
This 591-nucleotide ribosomal RNA is filed under the name Metabacillus niabensis. Its description in RNAcentral is "bacterial SSU rRNA". It matches the Rfam family "Bacterial small subunit ribosomal RNA", at positions 143 to 716 of the family's 1533-position model. Lineage: Bacteria; Bacillati; Bacillota; Bacilli; Caryophanales; Bacillaceae. The record is from RNAcentral.